UGCCGGUAGAGGCGAAAAACUCCGGCCCUUCCGCCCAGCUAGUAGAGGCGUCUUGAAGAAACAGGAGCGUUUUCUCCGCCGCAGCCCUGUGGUGGAGGGAGCACCCUGAUCCCUUUGCUGCAGACGCGGAAACUGAGGCUCAGAGAGGGUCCGACAUCUUACAGCUGGUGCGGGGCAGAGCAAGACGCCAACCUAUGCCUGUUGGAUUCCAAAGUUUAUACUUUAAUCGUUCGUCUAGCAGAUUCUUACAACCAUCCUGGGAGGUUACCUAUUUCAAUCAGAUACCUGUUGGCUCAAAUUUACUUUAGUGCAAGGAAAAACUUCAAACUGCAAGAGGAGUCCCUCCAAAUAUAGAAAGGACCAGUAUUUUAAGAGGUAUGUUAACCAAAAUGUGGCAAUGUAAGGAGCAGAGCAGGAAGAGCCUUUAAGUUCACAACGUACAACAAGUCAAUUUCAUAGUUUCCCUGGUCCUUCCACAACAGCCUCUGGCAUCUGUUUUCUCUACAAUGGCGGUAACAAUAGUAGCUAUUUCAGAGCAGGAAAAGGCUUACAGCAGUGCUAGAAGAGGGUUGUGGCUAUGUAAAGUUUAGCUAUUUGUAUAUUGUAACAAACCUACAAUUUUAUUUAUUUUUUGUCAAUAAUAGAUUUUUUUUGCAAAAGUAGCUGCCUCCUGUUGGGGACACCCGCAGUUCCACUAAGUGAGCAUUGGUAUCUGCUAACCUUUGCCUCUAUUUCUCUCAGUAAUAUACUGUCAAGCUGUUCCUUGAUUUAGCAAUUUUAUAUACUUCCUUUUUCAUUCCCCCCUCCUUUCCCUGAGACACAGUCCCGCUUUGUGGCCCAGUCUGGCCUGCAGCAGCGCCAUCAUGGCUCACCGCCACCUCCACCCCGGGCUCAAGCAAUCCUCCUACAUCAGCCUUCACAGGAGCUGGGACUACCUGCGGGGCCCAAGAGGCCCUGCUAAUCUUUGUGGCUUUUGUUUUGUUUUUCCAUUAAGAGACCGGGUUUCGGGCCAGGCGCAGUGACUCAGGCCUGUAAGCCCAGCAACCCGGGAGGCCGCCGCGGAUCACCCGAGGGGAGGAGCUGUAUACCAGCCGGACCAACAUGGAGAAACCCCGUCUCUACCAAAAAAAUAAACUCCCAGUACGUUGGGAGGCCGAGGCGGGUGGAUCCCGAGGUCUGGAGAUUGAGACCAUCCUGGC
Piliocolobus tephrosceles (Ugandan red Colobus) is the source of this 1199-nucleotide long non-coding RNA. RefSeq lists it as uncharacterized. The transcript is spliced from 3 exons. The record is from RefSeq and is a predicted model, not a curated record. Lineage: Eukaryota; Metazoa; Chordata; Mammalia; Primates; Cercopithecidae.